UUGUGUUUGUGGGUCUGGUCGGACGUGCUUUUGUUGUGCUCUUCGAUUGCGUUGCUUUUUUUGCGGUUUGCGGACUUUUGCAGAGAAGAUUAAAUAUUUUUCAGGUAAGUCUUAUUCCAUAUUGACCCUUAGACGUAAGAAUUUAUUUAAUAUCACUUAGAGAAUCGGUCCCAGAAGACAUCUCGGCACAUCGUUCGAUGGUCGACCAUUUGCACUUCGGAUUCGAAUCUUUUAGAUUUAAAAAGGCAGCUGCGAAUGAAGAUGUUUGCGUGGUUUCGCCGGAGGUUCCGACGGAAGAAUGCGGUGGCGCCGGAGGGAAGGGGUUUCUCGGACGGCUCCGACGAGACGUUCGAGGACCGUUGGCUCGACUGGUCUCUGUCGAAUCGAUUAGUUCGGUGUCGUUUGAGACCGUCGAGCGAGAAGCAGCGGGUUGUGACGACCUUCCCCCAGUGCGUGUGGCGUGGGAUUCUCCUGGAGGCGGGAGAGUUCUGAGUCCAUUCCACUUGGCCAAGGUGGUCAGAGAUCAGCCGGCCCUAGGCCUUGUUAAAGAAGGCAUAGAUAGUGACGAGUCCUCUUGGAGUUCGUCUAUUUUCGCGAGGUCUGCGUCUCCGUCCGCGCUCGCGACCACGUCUCCACAUCGUCUUUCGGAAGUCGGAACGGGGAAGAUUCGGAGGAGAGCGCCGCCGAAGUCGAGAAACCGCGGUUUUGCUGCUGUGGGAGGCUGCGGUUCCCUUGGCCUAGGCGGUGAUCCUCUUCGAUUUUCUCCAACUCGUCCUUUGCACUCGGAUGCGACAUUCUGACCGGAUUCGACACUUUUCACCCGGACACGAUACCUUUACUCGGACGUGGCCUUCUCUUACCCGGAUGUUCUCACCUCACGGACUUGUCUCCCAUACGUGACACUCGAUCGACGACAAUUGAUUUGACUUCCGAUUGUGACCACCCUGACGCGACAUUCGGCCGACCUUUCUUCCCAAACAGCUGUUAUGAAGAUUGAGCUUCCGGUUACGGUAGGUUAGGUAGGCAAGGCUAGGUCAGGUCCUUCGCUCUUCUCAUAACACUGUUCGGGAAGAAAGACUGUCUGAUAAAGGAACAUUUGGGAGGGAGA
This 1108-nucleotide unclassified non-coding RNA is filed under the name Centruroides sculpturatus (bark scorpion). RNAcentral's name for it is "uncharacterized LOC111642711, transcript variant X1". The record is from RNAcentral. Lineage: Eukaryota; Metazoa; Arthropoda; Arachnida; Scorpiones; Buthidae.